GUUAUUUGUCCUCCUAUUGACCCGCGUGUUCCAUCCAGCCAGAGUCUGAGUGGCAGAUGUGCAAACUUUAUCCCUCUGAAGACUGUCAGAGGGAUUUAUACUGCAGGAUGAAGGGCUUUGCCAGUCUGGAGAACACAUAAGUUACGAAAGCUCCACUUCUUUGUCCUUUUCUCUCUGGCACACAGUUCUUUUUUUAGGUAAAGUGACACAAGUGUGUACAUGAACCUCUGAACAUGAGGUUUUGUUUAGCUGUCACUAACCAGUCAAUUCGCAAGAUAAGACUUUCUAACUGGUCGAACCAGUUCUAUUCAGUGCUUAGUCUUAAGCGUGACCAGCUGCUGAUAGAGAACAGGUUUUGUACCUUACCGUUCUCACAGGUCCUCUUCUGGAUGACAAACACUGUGUAAAUGGAAAGUCACCUGGUUUAUUCUGCAGAGUGCAACUCCAAUCAAAGAAUGAUUCCUUUUCUCCAACAGGCUGUUUAAGGAGGAGUAGAAGUCUGCAAAGUAAAAAUAUAUACGUACAUGUAUUCAAAUAUUCCUCCAGAUCUGAAAGAGGUCGUGCUCCAACAGUACAAAUAUUUCCUGAUAAGGGGGGCGGUACCCUGAUGGGCUCUGUGGAGUCCAGGUGUGGCUUUGCAUAAAAGGAGCAGCAGGUGUCUGUGUUUGAGGAUCUGCUGUCCAGCACACAAGAGACAUUUAAUUUCCUGCCGGAGGUCUUUGGAGAUGUCUGGACGAGGGGGCCACUGUAAUCGAGGGGGGCGUGGACAUGGGCAUGGACAUGGUCAUGGUCAUGGACAUGAACAGUGCCAAGGACAUGGUCAUGGACAUGGUCAUGGACAUGGUCCAGGCCCAAAGUGCAGGCGCAGGCCCAAGAGAGGUCACAAGCAUCUCAAGUGUCACAAGAAGGGAAAGGACUGUCAUGGGUCCUCCAGCAGCUCCUGCAGCAGCAGCAGUGAUUCUGACUAGAUGACGACUCCUGGUUUGGGAAAGAAGACGAGACCAAAACCACCAAAACCUUUGGAAACCGUUGGAGCUGAAAAGUUUCUUUGCAACUCAUAAGGAUGUCACAACAAAUCCAGUCUAAAUGUAUUGUUCUCCUUGGUUUUAUGGCUUUGUACCAAAUACUAGAAAAUAAAGUUCA
Pungitius pungitius (ninespine stickleback) is the source of this 1143-nucleotide long non-coding RNA. RefSeq lists it as uncharacterized. The record is from RefSeq and is a predicted model, not a curated record. The transcript is spliced from 4 exons. Lineage: Eukaryota; Metazoa; Chordata; Actinopteri; Perciformes; Gasterosteidae.